This 29-nucleotide non-coding RNA is filed under the name Rattus norvegicus (Norway rat). Lineage: Eukaryota; Metazoa; Chordata; Mammalia; Rodentia; Muridae. The record is from RNAcentral.
UACAUAUUUGUGAUACAGGGAGGAGCCGC